CUCCUCCCGCCUGGGGGCAGUUCCCCCGCGCACAGUUCGCCACCUCGUCGUUCGUCCCGCGGCCGUCAGCCGCCGCCGGAGCCGCCCUUCGCCCCGCCCCCGCGGGAGUCGCCCCCUUCGCCGCGGGUUGCAUUGGCGGCGGCGGGGUCCAUCUCCUCCGUCGAUCAGCGACGGCAUGGGACACCCCGGGCUUGGCCGUGAAGAUGGAUUUCUCCGGCGGGGCAAUCGACUCCUCAAAUCUGUUCCUUGACCUCGCACCAGGGAAGCAUAAUGCCCCUGCGGCCGUUCCUCCAGGGAGGCACACUGGUUGAACCACUGAAAGGGAGCACACAAAGGUGCAGAGGCAACAACUCCAAAGGAAUCAGUGUGAUUGCUGUAAUUUGAGAAGGCACUGAUAUAACACGGGGAAUAGUUACUACUGAAGAAAUCAUUUCUGCAACACUCGAUCUUGAGUCUGCACUUGCUAACAGAGAUGCCCCCAAAACACGAUACUCCUGAUUGUUUGAUUGGUAACAAUCCUCUCGCAGAAAACUCUAAUUAGAUUCCUUUUACUUCCAAAUCUUGACAUUUUGCAUUUUAAUUAUUAUCCUAUAUGCAUAGGAUCAUAGAAAAAUAUUGCUAAUGUCUACGUUGGAAAGGAUCCAAACUCUAAACAAGUGAUUGGUGAACAAAUGAUAAUCCACUGUAGCUCUUUCAUUGUGCACGCAACCUCAUGUACGACGAAACAGGCUUCUUUUGCUUCUGCCGUCACAUUGCUGAAUAUAACUUUGAAUCUCAAUUGCACUUGACUGCAUCCUCUAUCUUGAUCUGCUUGACAACUUAUUAUAAUUUCACUGCCGAUGUUGUUAAUUUAUCUUGCAUCUCCGCCUCCUUGGCAUUAUCUUUUUUUUAGUUAAGCAUGAACAUGAUUUAGAUGCUCAUAUUCAGGUAGCAUUCUUGGGUGAGCUAGAGCUAUUGAUUUUUGUUUCAGUGCGAGACAGUUUUUUUAUAUUUUUAUUUUGCUCCUCAUUCCGUCUAGGUAGCAUAGGAUUAUACCACCGAUAAUUCUUAUUAGGAUUUGCUGCACAACAAGCAUGGUUCACGCAUAUGCCUGCAUAUUUGUCAAUAUUCUAUCAGAAUCAGUUUGCUGCGCACUGAAGUGUAACAGAAGGUGUGCUACUGUUUCCACAUCUCCUUGUGCAAAUCACUAAUAUUUUUUCCAAGUCUUUUCUUCCUUUUUGUAAUGACCCUGAAAUAGUUUCAGCAUUGCAGUCAGUUUCUUCGUUGUCUUCAGUGUUCUUAUGGCGAAGGACCAAGUGAAUUUGAUGAAAUUCCCAAGUCCCGGGUUUGUAUAGGCGAUUGUGUUCACAUGAAUAUUUUUCAUAAUAUACAAUUAAAUUUUAUAGUAAACACUUCUAUGAUGGUGAAGUUUUUUUCCAGAUCUGACCAAGGUGAACAAUGUAACCUGGGACAAUACUUUGUAUCAUAGGAAAUUUUCUAAGUCUCCAGUGUUCUUAUCUUCGACAUAUUCAGUGUUCUUUCCUUCAGGAUCCCUGUAAAAAAUUUUCAACAUGACUUAACACAGUUAACUGGAGAUGUUCCGUCAUUUAAACAUGUUGAUGGCCAAGCCAAUAUUCAGGUAUACCGGAAACCUCUGUAGCUAUACGCCUAUAACUUGGUAGCACACUUUACUGUAGUAAGAUGUUUAUAUGCAGAAGUAUUAAAAAUUGAUAUUUGCCAAGACUACCGUGAGUCAUGCAUGUUCGUUCCUUCCAGGUGAUGUACCCAACAUGCUUCUGCACAAGAAUGUCUAUGGGAGGUGAGCGUGAACCAUAUAGAUCACAUUGAUUAAAGUUGGGUAAUUUGAGGUGUGCCUGAUGGUUAUGCAAAAAAGAAAAUUUGCCUAGCAAUUGUUUUCUAUUGUUGUGGUAAAGCUUGAAUCAGUCUUUGUUGUAUACUAUGAAGAGUUACAGCAACAUGAAGCUGUCACACCAUCUCACUUGGAUGCCUGCAGGCUGGAGCUGAGUCGCGUUUGGUCAAACAUUGGAGCUGUUCUUGUGAACUUUUGUGAUGAGCGUGUGCCAUUUGUACCUAAAGGGUAUCGAGUGUUGAAUGUUUCUUUAUCUUCUUUGUUAUUCUCAUUGUACGAUUCACAUUAUCAAUCAUUCGACAAUUACAGUUUUGAUAUUAUAGUUCCAUCUCAAUCAUUCAUUUCUGCCUGAUCAACCAUGAACAUGCGACUACUUUUUUAAAGUUUGGACUAAAAUAACUGUUUGCAAAUUCAGGUCAGUGAUGCCUUUGCUUGGACUCGACAGACCAGCUAAGGGUGACCUGCAGCCCACGCGUGCCCGGCAGGAGCUAUAACUAAGUGUGAUGUGAUAGAACAUUUCUAGAUAUUUAUGAGAUAUUUAAUUUUGUGUGUUGCGCGCAGGCUAUUUCAUCUAGGACAUGGUUUCCUUGCAAAAGGUGUAUAUUUUCGCCAGUCUUCUUUUACACCGAGGGGCCUAAAUUCUUUGGAUAUAUCUCACUAUUGGGUUUGUAUAGUUGCUUUCCUCGACCAUGAUAAUUGAUGGUAUAUUCUGGAGCAUAGAGAUUAUACCUUCUAUGAGUAGUGAAUUGGGUAUAAUUUUUUGCCUUUUAAAUUCAUUGUUGUUUUGUUAAGGAAUCGUAUUUUCUGAACGUAGAAGAUAUAUUAGACAUAUAUGAAAAUGAUCAUGUACAAUUUCUUUCAUGUUACAUGCUUACAUGUCUGAUCGGUUAAAGAAAAUAGCAAGUACAAUUUUAAUUUUAGGUGGUACAAUCUGUUUUUUGCUGUGGAUGAAUGCUUUAAUAUACUAUAACUUUUGAGAUUUACAUAUGUAUGAUUUGUGCACAGGAUGACCAAAUACUGCAGAGGAACUUUUUAAUCGAUGAUUGGAAAUCAUGGUGGUUUAUGAUCCUUGCAAGAGUAUGAGAAUAUCUUUGCCACAUCACAGGACAAACAAUUUGAAAGAGAGUUGUAGUGAAAGUUGGCUAUUAUGAUGUGAACUCGCAUAUUUUAAUCAAACGACGUAUUUGAAUUAUGUGUUUA
Long non-coding RNA from Triticum dicoccoides, 3049 nucleotides. RefSeq lists it as uncharacterized. Lineage: Eukaryota; Viridiplantae; Streptophyta; Magnoliopsida; Poales; Poaceae. The record is from RefSeq and is a predicted model, not a curated record. The transcript is spliced from 3 exons.